UUAAGCGAACAAGCGUACACGGUGGAUGCCCUGGCAGUCAGAGGCGAUGAAGGACGUGCUAAUCUGCGAAAAGCGCCGGUAAGGUGAUAUGAACCGUUAUAACCGGCGAUGUCCGAAUGGGGAAACCCGGUGCACUUCGGUGCAUCAUCGUUAGCUGAAUACAUAGGCUAACGAGGCGAACCGGGGGAACUGAAACAUCUAAGUACCCCGAGGAAAAGAAAUCAACCGAGAUUCCCCCAGUAGCGGCGAGCGAACGGGGAACAGCCCAGAGCCUGAAUCAGCUUGUGUGUCAGUGGAACGGUCUGGAAAGGCCGGCGAUACAGGGUGACAGCCCCGUACACGAAGGCACACAGGCUGUGAGCUCGAUGAGUAGGGCGGGACACGUGAUAUCCUGUCUGAAGAUGGGGGGACCAUCCUCCAAGGCUAAAUACUCCUGACUGACCGAUAGUGAACCAGUACCGUGAGGGAAAGGCGAAAAGAACCCCGGCGAGGGGAGUGAAACAGAACCUGAAACCGUGUACGUACAAGCAGUGGGAGCCUUCGUAAGAGGGUGACUGCGUACCUUUUGUAUAAUGGGUCAGCGACUUAUAUUCUGUAGCAAGGUUAACCGUAUAGGGGAGCCGAAGGGAAACCGAGUCUUAACCGGGCGUUAAGUUGCAGGGUAUAGACCCGAAACCCGGUGAUCUAGCCAUGGGCAGGUUGAAGGUUGGGUAACACUAACUGGAGGACCGAACCGACUAAUGUUGAAAAAUUAGCGGAUGACCNNNNNNNNNNCUGUGGCUGGGGGUGAAAGGCCAAUCAAACCGGGAGAUAGCUGGUUCUCCCCGAAAGCUAUUUAGGUAGCGCCUCGUGAACUCAUCUCCGGGGGUAGAGCACUGUUUCGGCUAGGGGGCCAUCCCGGCUUACCAACCCGAUGCAAACUGCGAAUACCGGAGAAUGUUAUCACGGGAGACACACGGCGGGUGCUAACGUCCGUCGUGAAGAGGGAAACAACCCAGACCGCCAGCUAAGGUCCCAAAGUCAUGGUUAAGUGGGAAACGAUGUGGGAAGGCCCAGACAGCCAGGAUGUUGGCUUAGAAGCAGCCAUCAUUUAAAGAAAGCGUAAUAGCUCACUGGUCGAGUCGGCCUGCGCGGAAGAUGUAACGGGGCUAAACCAUGCACCGAAGCUGCGGCAGCGACGCUUAUGCGUUGUUGGGUAGGGGAGCGUUCUGUAAGCCUGCGAAGGUGUGCUGUGAGGCAUGCUGGAGGUAUCAGAAGUGCGAAUGCUGACAUAAGUAACGAUAAAGCGGGUGAAAAGCCCGCUCGCCGGAAGACCAAGGGUUCCUGUCCAACGUUAAUCGGGGCAGGGUGAGUCGACCCCUAAGGCGAGGCCGAAAGGCGUAGUCGAUGGGAAACAGGUUAAUAUUCCUGUACUUGGUGUUACUGCGAAGGGGGGACGGAGAAGGCUAUGUCGGCCGGGCGACGGUUGUCCCGGUUUAAGCGUGUAGGCUGACUUUCCAGGCAAAUCCGGAAAGUUAAGGCUGAGGCGUGAUGACGAGGCACUACGGUGCUGAAGUGACAAAUGCCCUGCUUCCAGGAAAAGCCUCUAAGCAUCAGGUAACAUCAAAUCGUACCCCAAACCGACACAGGUGGUCAGGUAGAGAAUACCAAGGCGCUUGAGAGAACUCGGGUGAAGGAACUAGGCAAAAUGGUGCCGUAACUUCGGGAGAAGGCACGCUGACAUGUAGGUGAAGCCCCUGCGGGUGGAGCUGAAGUCAGUCGAAGAUACCAGCUGGCUGCAACUGUUUAUUAAAAACACAGCACUGUGCAAACACGAAAGUGGACGUAUACGGUGUGACGCCUGCCCGGUGCCGGAAGGUUAAUUGAUGGGGUUAUCGCAAGAGAAGCUCCUGAUCGAAGCCCCGGUAAACGGCGGCCGUAACUAUAACGGUCCUAAGGUAGCGAAAUUCCUUGUCGGGUAAGUUCCGACCUGCACGAAUGGCGUAAUGAUGGCCAGGCUGUCUCCACCCGAGACUCAGUGAAAUUGAACUCGCUGUGAAGAUGCAGUGUACCCGCGGCAAGACGGAAAGACCCCGUGAACCUUUACUACAGCUUGACACUGAACAUUGAGCCUUGAUGUGUAGGAUAGGUGGGAGGCUUUGAAGCGUGGACGCCAGUCUGCGUGGAGCCGACCUUGAAAUACCACCCUUUAAUGUUUGAUGUUCUAACCUGGCGCCGUGAUCCGGCGUGGGGACAGUGUCUGGUGGGUAGUUUGACUGGGGCGGUCUCCUCCCAAAGUGUAACGGAGGAGCACGAAGGUCAGCUAAUCCUGGUCGGACAUCAGGAGGUUAGUGCAAUGGCAUAAGCUGGCUUGACUGCGAGAGUGACGGCUCGAGCAGGUGCGAAAGCAGGUCAUAGUGAUCCGGUGGUUCUGUAUGGAAGGGCCAUCGCUCAACGGAUAAAAGGUACUCCGGGGAUAACAGGCUGAUACCGCCCAAGAGUUCAUAUCGACGGCGGUGUUUGGCACCUCGAUGUCGGCUCAUCACAUCCUGGGGCUGAAGUAGGUCCCAAGGGUAUGGCUGUUCGCCAUUUAAAGUGGUACGCGAGCUGGGUUUAGAACGUCGUGAGACAGUUCGGUCCCUAUCUGCCGUGGGCGCUGGAGAAUUGAGGGGGGCUGCUCCCAGUACGAGAGGACCGGAGUGGACGCAUCACUGGUGUUCGGGUUGUCAUGCCAAUGGCACUGCCCGGUAGCUAAAUGCGGAAGAGAUAAGUGCUGAAAGCAUCUAAGCACGAAACUUGCCCCGAGAUGAGUUCUCCCUGAGACUAUAAGUCUCCUGAAGGAACGUUGAAGACGACGACGUUGAUAGGCCGGGUGUGUAAGCGCAGCGAUGCGUUGAGCUAACCGGUACUAAUGAACCGUGAGGCUUAACCUU
RNAcentral lists this ribosomal RNA (2912 nucleotides) under Cronobacter sakazakii. RNAcentral's name for it is "bacterial LSU rRNA". It matches the Rfam family "Bacterial large subunit ribosomal RNA". Lineage: Bacteria; Pseudomonadati; Pseudomonadota; Gammaproteobacteria; Enterobacterales; Enterobacteriaceae. The record is from RNAcentral.